GGUGUAUUUCAGGUAUGGAAGUCAAUCUCAUGUUUGCACCAUUUUGGCAAGGGGGCUUUGAAUGCCUCAAUUCAAUCCUACUCUAUAUCUGAAGAGAGUUGGGGUUUACUUGGUAUAGUCCAAGGAUCUAGAAAAGUUGCCUGAGGCUGAUAGUUUGGACAAUCACAUUUCAUUUCAGUAUGAGGAUAUGAAUGCAAUGCAGAGA
Humulus lupulus (European hop) is the source of this 205-nucleotide long non-coding RNA. RefSeq lists it as uncharacterized. Lineage: Eukaryota; Viridiplantae; Streptophyta; Magnoliopsida; Rosales; Cannabaceae. The record is from RefSeq and is a predicted model, not a curated record. The transcript has 3 exons.